UAUCUCUUUAACUCACACAUCAUGACUAUGUAUUUGAAGAAAAGAAUUGAAAUGGACUUAACAUGAGAUUGUGCUCCUCUGCCAGGUAAGCACAUGGCUGUUCAGAAGGAAAACACAUUUGUUUGGCUGAAGGAAUACUAAAAUCACUUUCUUCACCUGCCUCCAAGCAAAAAUCCAGAAUGUUAGUAACUAAAGGGCAGUUUUCCAAUUCUAAAAUCUCAGUUUACAUUUUCCCAAAAUAAUCUACUUCAGAAAAACAAUAUGAGAGGAAAAGAGAUUUUAAUUUUUAUGAAGCCAAAAAUAUACAGAAUUCAUCAAAAACCAAAUGCCUCCAAAACCUGUUUUGCAACACAUAAACAAGAAUAACUUUAAUUUAUACUCUAGAAAAUAAAUGUUUUUUAACCAUCUCUAUCUCUCUUACUUGUAUGAUAAGUAAGACAGUUGUCUACCUAUAGGUACAUUUUUCAAAUAGACACAUCACCUCUGAGACCAUGUGCUACAGCAUAGGUUUUAGAAUUCAAAUUACCUGACUCCCCCGGGGCGCGGUGGCUCACGCUUGUAAACCCAGCACUUUGGGAGGCCGAGGCGGGCGGAUCACUUGAGGUCAGGAGUUCAAGACCAGCCUGGCCAACAUGGGGAAAUGCUGUCUCUACAGAAAAAAAAAAAAAAAAAAAAAAAAAAAAACAAGAAUUAGCCAAGCGGGGUGGCAGGUGCCUGUAAUCCCAGCUACUAGGGAGGCUGAAGCAGGAGAAUCACUUGAACCUGGGAGGCGGAGGUUGCAGUGAGCCAAGAUGGCACCACUGCACUCCAACCUGGGAGACACAGCCAGAUUCCGUCUCAAAAAAAAAAAAAAAAAAAAAAAAAAAAUUACCUGACUCAACUCUCAGUCUUAGCACUAACUAGCCGUGUGAUGUUACUUAGCAUCUCUGAGCUUCAGGGAUCCUUACACUAGAGAUAUUCAUUCCAAACUGCAACAGACAUGGUAGACUGAUGACGCACCAGCCGUUCUGCCCCCACUUUUUCCAAGCCAACAGAUCCCUACAUACAAUAGAGAGGCUGAAAUUGUCAGACACUCGCUUUCCCAGCUUCUUGGAAAUAGGAAUAGGAAUGGAACUCCUCUGUGGCCAGUAAAACAUAACAGAAAGUCUACAAGGGUCUUCUGGGGAAAACAUUUUUUUCCCUGGUAAAAUAAAAGAAACACACAAGAAGAAAGAAACAUCUUUCCUCCCUUCCUGUUUUGGGAAGAGCAGGGUGAGGGCAUAAUGCUUACACUCCAUCUUGCAACUGUGAACAAAAACCCAAUAGGAUCACACUGAAAUAGACUCAAAAGCCUGACAACAUUAAACCACUGAAUCAACUCUGUAACUGCCUCCCCCAAGACUUUGUAUUAUGUAAGAAAAAUAAACCACAAUGGUUUAAGCCACAUUUGCUCAGGUUUUAUGUUACUUGCAUCACCAACAUCCUAAUUUCUAUCCUAUUCGCUUAGAGUUCCUGAGAGGAAUAUAUAAGGUAGCUUAAGUGGAGGCUCAGAGGUUAUUAGUGCCUCUGGAUAACACUACCCUUAAUCUUAUUACUUUUCCUGUAAAAUCCAAUUCCAUUUUUCACAAUAGUUUGACUGCUGGUCCAACCACCUACUAGCUGAUUAUUUAAUUUAUCUGGGCCUACAUUUGCUCACUUUUAAGUUACAACUAAUAAUACUUACUUUCUGAGGUUGUUUUAAGAAAUACGCAAACUGGAUGCAGUAUCUGUCACUUGAGGGUAAAUCUAUUGCCAAGUGAAAUGGCAAAAUCUGUUGGAGGCUCAGUUUCAUGAAGUUGACGAAAUUAGGUUGGAAAACUGUUCAGGUUAUUUCCAAAACUAUCCAUAAAUGAGGAUCUGUCAAAGUCAGACAACUGAGCAGUUGAAGAAGUAAAAACAAUAUGAUGAUGAUAAAUAGCUAUUUUGAAAGAAUGUGGUAAUGUAAAAUGGGAUAGCUGCUUUGGAAAACACUCGGGCAGUUCCUCAAAAGGUUAAACAUAGAGUUAUCAUAUGACCCAGCAAUUCCACAUAGGUAUACACCCAAAAGAAUUUAAAACAGAUAUAUUCAAACAAGUACUUGUACAUGCAUAUUAAUAGCAGCACUAUUCACAAUAGCCAAGAGGUGGAAUCAACCUAAAAGUCCAACGACUGAUGAAUGCAUAAACAAUAUGUGGUAUAUUCAUACAAUGGAAUAUUGGUCCGCAAUAAAAAUUGAUGAAACACUGAUACGUACUACAACAUGGAUGAACCUUGAAAAUCUUAUGCUAAGUGAAAGAAGGUAAUCAUAAAAGUAAUAAAAGACAUAUGAUUUAUGUGAUUCCAUUCAUAUGAAGUGUCCAGAAUAAGAAAAUGAAUAAGAAAAUCUACACAGACCAGAAUAAAAAAUCUACACAGACACAGCAAAGAUUGGUGGUUGCCUAGAACUGGGAGUCAGAGGGAGAGGGAACGGGUUUGGUGGGAAUUGGGGAGUGACAGCUAAUGGGCAUGUGAUUUCUUUCAAGGGUAUAAUUAUAAAUAUGUUCUAAAAUUAACUGUGGUAACGGUUACACAACUCUGUGUAAAUAGUAAAACCACUGAAUUGCCCAUUUUAAAUAAGUCAAUUGGGUGAUAUGUGAGUUAUAUAUUAAUAAAGCUGUUUUUUUUAAAGGUGGGGAGGGGAGAAAAUUAUUCCAAUAUAAGAGAAUUGAGAGAGGCUCCUGGAAAAAUAUAUCAACCUUUGAAAAUUUUUGCAAAAAAUGCUCUUAUUUAUAAACAAGUUGCUAGAGUCAAACGUGCAUCGAA
RNAcentral lists this long non-coding RNA (2799 nucleotides) under Homo sapiens (human). Its description in RNAcentral is "non-protein coding lnc-RAD21-2:1". Lineage: Eukaryota; Metazoa; Chordata; Mammalia; Primates; Hominidae. The record is from RNAcentral.